AGUGAACGCUGGCGGUAUGCCUAACACAUGCAAGUCGAACGGCAGCAUGGUAUAGGCUUCCUGUUUCGGGUGGCGAGGCGCGGGGGGGUGUGGUAUACCUCAGCAUCUACUUUUUCGGGGGGUAUCACGUAGGGAGACUAACGCUUAUAGCGUACACCAUGAAGGGGUGAAAGCAGGAGCGCUUGGCACCUUGCUCUAUUGAAUGCGCCGAUGUCGGAUUAGCUAGUUGGCGGGGUAAAGGCCCACCAAGGCGACGAUCCGUAGCUGGUCUGAGAGGAUGAUCAGCCACACUGGGACUGAGACACGGUCCAGACUCCUACGGGAGGCAGCAGUGGGGAAUAUUGGACAAUGGGCGCAAGCCUGAUCCAGCCAUGCCGCGUGUGUGAAGAAGGCCUUCGGGUUGUAAAGCACUUUUGUUCGGAAAGAAAAGGAGCAGGUUAAUACCUCGGGGUGAUGACGGUACCGGAAGAAUAAGCACCGGCUAACUACGUG
RNAcentral lists this ribosomal RNA (492 nucleotides) under uncultured bacterium. RNAcentral's name for it is "partial 16S ribosomal RNA". It matches the Rfam family "Bacterial small subunit ribosomal RNA", at positions 29 to 507 of the family's 1533-position model. The record is from RNAcentral.